This 75-nucleotide transfer RNA is filed under the name Candidatus Glassiibacteriota bacterium. RNAcentral describes it as "Candidatus Glassbacteria bacterium tRNA-Arg". It matches the Rfam family "tRNA". Rfam says of the family: Transfer RNA (tRNA) molecules are approximately 80 nucleotides in length. Their secondary structure includes four short double-helical elements and three loops (D, anti-codon, and T loops). Further hydrogen bonds mediate the characteristic L-shaped molecular structure. tRNAs have two regions of fundamental functional importance: the anti-codon, which is responsible for specific mRNA codon recognition, and the 3' end, to which the tRNAs corresponding amino acid is attached (by aminoacyl-tRNA synthetases). tRNAs cope with the degeneracy of the genetic code in two manners: having more than one tRNA (with a specific anti-codon) for a particular amino acid; and 'wobble' base-pairing, i.e. permitting non-standard base-pairing at the 3rd anti-codon position. RNAcentral also lists the same sequence under 1 other name. The record is from RNAcentral. Lineage: Bacteria; Candidatus Glassiibacteriota.
GCCCCUGUAGCUCAGUGGAUAGAGCAUCGGAUUCCGGUUCCGGGUGCGCUGGUUCGAUUCCAGUCAGGGGUACCA